GUGUCAGCAGCCGCGGUAAUACGGAGGAUUCGAGCGUUAUCCGGAUUUAUUGGGUUUAAAGGGUGCGUAGGCGGUUAGAUAAGUUUGAGGUUAAAUGCUUCUGCUCAACAGGAGUUUGCCUUGAAAACUGUCUGACUAGGAUGUAAACGGCGCAGGCGGAAUGAAUCAUGUAGCGGUGACAUGCAUAGAUAUGAUUCAGAACACCGAUCGCGAAGGCAGCUUGCGAGGAUACGAUUGACGCUGAAGCACGAAAGCGUGGGUAUCGAACAGGAUUAGAUACCCUGGUAGUCCACGCUGUAAACGAUGAUAACCAGAUGUUGGCGAUAGAAUGUCAGUGUCGGAACGAAAGAGCUAAGUUAUCCACCUGGGGAGUACGAUCGCAAGGUUGAA
Molecule: ribosomal RNA, 390 nt
Filed under: uncultured bacterium
Lineage: Bacteria
Description: bacterial SSU rRNA
Rfam family: Bacterial small subunit ribosomal RNA
Source: RNAcentral